AAAGUGAAUAGUGAAAUCUGGUGGCUCAACCAUACAGACUAUUAUUCAAACUCAUAAACUCGAGAAUGGUAGAGGUAACUGGAAUUUCUAGUGUAGGAGUGAAAUCCGUAGAUAUUAGAAGGAACACCAAUGGCGUAGGCAGGUUACUGGACCAUUUCUGACGCUAAGGCACGAAAGCGUGGGGAGCGAACCGGAUUAGAUACCCGGGUAGUCCACGCUGUAAACGAUGGAUACUA
RNAcentral lists this ribosomal RNA (236 nucleotides) under uncultured Candidatus Saccharibacteria bacterium. RNAcentral describes it as "partial 16S ribosomal RNA". It matches the Rfam family "Bacterial small subunit ribosomal RNA", at positions 584 to 818 of the family's 1533-position model. The record is from RNAcentral. Lineage: Bacteria; Candidatus Saccharimonadota.